UACUCUGUCACAGCCCCUGUUGCCCUGCGAUCUGUAGGUCCUUGGGGACGCAUAGUUAAGGUGCCAGGACAUCCUGGAAGCUGGGAAAUGGCUGAAUGCUAUCCCAGUGAUUGUACGUGCCCUGUUUGCUGAAUCUACUCAUCCUUAAGGGUAUGUAUUCAUUUCGUACCACCGUAGUGGAAGAGAGACUAUCCCUAUCAAUACACCUGGUAACAUUCCCAACAGUAAGUCGUGAGAUUCUGCUUGAAAUCACCUCUCAGACAAAUAAAAAACAGUCCUGGGAAAUGUACGACACUCAUUCUGCUAAAGAAAUAGGCAAGUAACAAUUUUUAACAAGUGAAAUAUAUUACUACUUAAUUUUAUUCAAAAUUCACCAACUUAAUGUGCUUUAUAAAUAUUUUCAUGCCUUUCAAGCUCUACUGAUAAAACAUAGUUUACAGUUAAUUAAAAAGUGAAGUUAAAGUAAGUACAAAAACAUUUUCAAGGUGACAAAAUUAGAAGGUGACAGUGCCGAUUGAAACACAGACAUAUCAGACCCAAGGGUCAAGUCAAGCCAUUCUA
Long non-coding RNA from Homo sapiens (human), 561 nucleotides. The record is from Ensembl. NCBI's taxonomy places the organism in Eukaryota, Metazoa, Chordata, Mammalia, Primates, Hominidae.